GCGCAUUCCGGGAGUUGCGUGCACGUCGUUUGCUUAGAAACUUCCUGCGUUCUUUGUGUGCUUCACUGUGACUUCUUUGGAAUAUUUCUGCGUGUUGCUCGCUUUUCAAGGGCUUGUUGCCUCGAAGAUCGCCAUGAUCGCCUCCGACUCAGCGAGAUCAAAGAUUCAAAAUGAACUGGGAGACACCCCAGCUGGAACGCUAAAGGUUCACAUCGGUUGGAGGAGUGCGCAUUGAGAAGGUUAUCCUGGCACAGCUUACCGUCGCCUGCCUUGGUGGACCAGGAAAGUUUGCAAGGGCCUUGCUUCACCAUAUCUUAACAGAGGAUGAGCUCAUGGGCCAUUUGCGCUUUGGAAAUAACACCAAGGGGCAAAAGAGGGUCUUGACCCCACCAGGGUCGUCGCUGUU
Molecule: non-coding RNA, 406 nt
Organism: Dermacentor andersoni
Lineage: Eukaryota; Metazoa; Arthropoda; Arachnida; Ixodida; Ixodidae
Source: RefSeq, a predicted model, not a curated record